This 81-nucleotide small nucleolar RNA is filed under the name Tortispora caseinolytica NRRL Y-17796. Its description in RNAcentral is "Small nucleolar RNA snR73". It matches the Rfam family "Small nucleolar RNA snR73". Lineage: Eukaryota; Fungi; Ascomycota; Trigonopsidomycetes; Trigonopsidales; Trigonopsidaceae. The record is from Rfam by way of RNAcentral.
UUUUCUGAUGAUUUAUUCUACUCACGACGGUCAACCGAACUUCAUUGACGAGAAUGCCUAUGACAGGGCUUUGAUCUGAAC